AACAACAUCAGGGAUAUUUGUCCUGAAAUUCACAAGUAGAUCAAACUAAAUUAAACCAAGCCAUGUAGUGUUAAUUAAGCAAAUCGGAAGUAGAGAAGCAUUUGAGAGAAGUUGAGAACAAGCGAGAGGGAGAACAUACGUCAAACGCUUUUGUUUGGUGGGAAAACGUUAACCUCCAUGAACUCUAAAUAUACAUAAGUAAGAAGUUAAAGUUGCAAGGAAGAUAGGGACUGACAGGUUGAAUUCUAAAGUGACAUCGACGUGCAUACAAACCAAACCUUCACUGCUUUGUUUUCUCGACCAAAGACAUUCAAUUCUGGUCUGCUUCCUUCAGCUUAUGCUUAGACGGCCACUUCCAGGUCGAUGUGUAACCAUAAUGGACCUGCGAAGGAGAAGCUCCGUGUGGACCUAGGUAGAUGUUUUCUUAACCUGUAAUCUACAAAACAUAGAGCGAGAGGUUUUUUUUUUAAUACCAUUGGAAAAACAACUCCUCCAUAUAAGUAAUCAAUCGCUGACUUAAAUUAAACAAAGGAAUGAUUCCUUAUCUUCUGGGACAACAAAAUCAUCCAAUUUUACGGGCCCUAGAGAUUGCAGAUUGGAGAUUUGACGAUCACCUUGGACAUGUUUUUUUAGAUGGAGAACUUCAGCCGAAUCAAUUCUGACAGUGAGAAAAGAGAAACUCUCAAAUUCCGGGGAAAGUAAGAGAAACCAAAAAAAAAACGAAUGAACUGACCCCAUUCAGAAUCAUAUUAUUCUUCGUCUACUUCUGGAGGCAGCGUCUUCGUCUGCGUUAACGAACCGCCGCGUGUAGAGGAGAUCGGGAGUAUAGGACAGAAGAAGAGGAAAAUCGGGUGGUCGACGUCGUUUAGC
Molecule: long non-coding RNA, 870 nt
Filed under: Eutrema salsugineum
Lineage: Eukaryota; Viridiplantae; Streptophyta; Magnoliopsida; Brassicales; Brassicaceae
Description: long non-coding RNA (ESAL_LNC000832)
Source: RNAcentral